GAAUCUUGCGCAAUGGGCGAAAGCCUGACGCAGCCAUGCCGCGUGAGUGAAGAAGGUCUUAGGAUUGUACAGCUCUUUCGCUCGUGACGAUGAUGACGGUAACGAGAGAAGAAGCCCCGGCUAACUUCGUCCCAGCAGCCGCGGUAAUACGAAGGGGGCUAGCGUUGUUCGGAAUUACUGGGCGUAAAGCGCGCGUAGGCGGUUUUGCAAGCCAGAGGUGAAAUGCCUGAGCUCAACUUAGGAAUUGCCUUUGGGACUGCGAGGCUUUGAGGACUGGAGAGGUGAGUGGAAUUCCCAGUGUAGAGGUGAAAUUCGUAGAUAUUGGGAAGAACACCGGUGGCGAAGGCGGCUCACUGGCCAGUUUCUGACGCUGCAGCGCGAAAGCGUGGGGAUCAAACAGGA
This 402-nucleotide ribosomal RNA is filed under the name uncultured bacterium. RNAcentral describes it as "bacterial SSU rRNA". It matches the Rfam family "Bacterial small subunit ribosomal RNA", at positions 359 to 777 of the family's 1533-position model. The record is from RNAcentral.